CUUUGGUGAGGCUAAUGGUGGACUCCAGGAGGGCUCAGGCCAAGGAGUAUUUCCCAGAACUUCUGCUUCCCGUGUCCUUGUCCCUGUGGUGAGCCACAGCCACCCCCCGCCUCUGCAGGAGACCCUCCAAUACUAGCAGAUGCCUGAUCUGGGAAGAGAGAGGGGAGUGAGAGGAAGAAGCUGCAAGGUCAGGAGAAGCCAUCUUUGCAUCCUGAGAUUCCUCUCCAUCAUCGUCACAGGGACCAGCUCAUAUCCCCGCCUCACAGUCACAGGGCAUAAUCCAGUUACCUCGUUCCCCCACAAGUUCUCUGUCUUUGGGAAGAAGACCCUGAACCCCAAAGCUUAGUGUUCCCAAAAGAAAAAAAAAAGGGGACUAGUACAACCCA
Long non-coding RNA from Eubalaena glacialis (North Atlantic right whale), 386 nucleotides. RefSeq lists it as uncharacterized. The record is from RefSeq and is a predicted model, not a curated record. The transcript is spliced from 2 exons. Lineage: Eukaryota; Metazoa; Chordata; Mammalia; Artiodactyla; Balaenidae.